GUGUGUGUGUGUGUGUGUGUGUGUGUGUGUGUGUGUGUGUGUGUUCGGCGGCGGUGUGUUUCGGUCAGUGAGCUCUCUCUAUGAUCUACUUGCUUCCUGCUUCAGUCUUUAAUGUUUCUGAUCAACAAACUGUCAGAUUUUAAUAUUCAGACUUUUUCAGCAAUUUGUGACUGAAAUUUGAUUUUCAGACUGAAAUAAUGUUUUUGUCUCCUGAAGUCAAACAGAAAAGUUUUUUACCGAAUCAAACGGAUCUGUGUGAUUUUUCUUGUUUUGAGACAAAGAGUGUUUAUGCAGACAGAUGCUCCACUCGUCAGUCCAGAUGACGACGUCCUGGUGAACUUUUCCUGCAGCAGAUGGUCGUCUGGUUCUGGUCACACCUUCAUGUUUACCAGAACCAUCUGACGGGUCGGUACCGCUGCCAGGAUACCUGCUGGAGUCGCUCUGAUCCCCGAGGUGGAGCAGAAAUAAAUCCUCAGUCUCUCCGUCUGUCUCAGACAUGAUGGCUUCAUGUUCCUCUGAUGGAAAACAUUUAAUGAGAGAAAUAAUGUCACAUUUAAACAAGUUCUCAGGUUUAGUUUAACUUAGAUUUUCUUCAUUCUAACUUCAGGCGAACAAAAUCAAACAUUAACAGUUUUAUUAUUUACUAAACUAAACUAGUUUUAUUCAGUUAUCAGGUCAAAUCUCACUGCAGGGACAGUUUGUUACAUUCCUCCCACCGUAUGAGCUCAACCUUCAGCACUUCAUACCACACACACACACCCCUACACACACACACACCCCUACACACACACACACCCCUACACACACACACACCCUACACACACACACACCCCUACACACACACACACCCUACACACACACACACACACACUGUGAGUGUUUGAGAUGAAGGUCUGGUCCAGAUAAGCUCUGAAGUGUUGGGCUAAAUGUGGAAUCCAGCGGUGAUAAGACAAACCGGCGUUGAACCAUCAGGCGGUUCGUAACGAGGCGUUCAGGCUCAGUCAGGAGAAGUUAGAGGUGAAUCAACAUCCUGGAAGGUUUUUAAAUAUCAAAACCAAGAAUCCAUUUCUUCAAGGUGAGACGUGACGAAUCUGCAGAGGUUUGAAUCCAGAAAAACUCAGAGGAAACGUCGGGACUUUAAAUCGUUUCCUGAAGAAAAGAGGAAGGCUGGAGGUGAGGAAGACUCUGCUGGACAUGGAGGGACAGCCAGAGGUCAAAGAAACCAGAAUGGAGGCAGAAAACGACUCGACUGCUUCAGCUUCAGGCGGAGGGAAGGAAAAACUGCAAACAGUGGAGGGAGAGAAAGAAGAGUUUCAUCAGGAGACGAAGGAGAAGAUGGAGGAUGA
Long non-coding RNA from Xiphophorus maculatus (southern platyfish), 1346 nucleotides. RefSeq lists it as uncharacterized. The transcript has 3 exons. Lineage: Eukaryota; Metazoa; Chordata; Actinopteri; Cyprinodontiformes; Poeciliidae. The record is from RefSeq and is a predicted model, not a curated record.